Molecule: ribosomal RNA, 1092 nt
Filed under: Triticum aestivum (bread wheat)
Lineage: Eukaryota; Viridiplantae; Streptophyta; Magnoliopsida; Poales; Poaceae
Description: partial small subunit ribosomal RNA
Source: RNAcentral
AUGAAGAGACUUUUGAGGGGCUCAUCGAGCCGAAGCUCUAAGGAAAAACAAAAGGAAGAAGAGGAGAAGCCCAAAUUUAAUUUGCCUCGCACCGCGGAGGUCCGGCCGUGUGAAUGGCCUUUCGAUGACUUCUUGAGGAGAGUUGGGAUUUACGAAGAUUUCUAUCUAUUGAUUGAGAAUGCUGGCCUCACCAACUUCCUCCACGACCAACGUCAUCAGUAUCUCUUACUCACAAAUACUUUUGUGCAAAACUUCUACUUUUUCCCUAAGAAAUCACCACCAACAGUAGAGUUUCAUUUAUAUGACGUUGUUAAAGAGAUGACAUUAGCUGAAUUCUGCGAGGUUUGCAGAAUACCCUUUGAGGGCACCUUAGAUGAACCCCACCGUAAUGAAGUAGAAGCUUUUAUUAACACUAUCACUGUGGGAGAAACCAGGAAUGUUUCUGAUGCAAGGAUCACUAGCAUACAUUUUCCCGUUUUACGCUACUUUGCCUUAUUUGCUAGUCGUUGCUUGAUUGGUCGCGGAAACUAUGGGAACCUUAGUAUUCCUGAUAUUAUUAUUUUGCUCCAUGGUUUAUACCGCAAUAACUCUGUUAGUAUGGGUGGAAUUGUUGCUAGACAGUUAAGUCUGAACCGUACUAAGGGCCCCAUCUUUGGAGGCAUUUAUGCUUCACGCCUAGCUGAACAUUUUGAAAUACCUAUUAGGCAUGAAGAGAAAGAAGAAACAGCGCUGCCCUGUGCUUAUUUAGAUUAUAGGAGUAUGAUAGCGCAUGACUUUCUUGUUAAGAGUCAUGAAGGGGAGCUCAAAUAUAAACUAUACUUUGAUAAACAUCACCCUGAGACUAUUACUUUGCCUGCUCCUUCUUUGUUUAACUUGUCUGUGGGACCUCACAUCAUUCCGUGGUCGGCUGUUCAAGCCUAUCGGAAUCCUGCACCAGCCCCGGAACCGGAGCCACAAGAUGAGUCUCCACGACUAUCUGUUUAUUCUUGGGAUCCAGAGGAGGUUGCCAGCCAGUGGCAGCCGGAGCCUUCUUCAUCGCAGUAUGACCCCAGCUUCACCUACGGGUAUCCGCCAGGCUAUCCCUGGCAAUAG